GAAGAACCAAACGUUAGGGGUUGUAACGGCAUCCUUUUUUUGCUUUAGCAAGUGGCAAAAAAAGAUAUAGUGUAAAACCCGACCAAAA
Mesonia phycicola is the source of this 88-nucleotide small RNA. It matches the Rfam family "Flavo-1 RNA". NCBI's taxonomy places the organism in Bacteria, Pseudomonadati, Bacteroidota, Flavobacteriia, Flavobacteriales, Flavobacteriaceae. The record is from Rfam.